RNAcentral lists this ribosomal RNA (460 nucleotides) under uncultured bacterium. RNAcentral's name for it is "partial 16S ribosomal RNA". It matches the Rfam family "Bacterial small subunit ribosomal RNA", at positions 338 to 795 of the family's 1533-position model. The record is from RNAcentral.
CCUACGGGAGGCAGCAGUGAGGAAUAUUGGUCAAUGGACGAGAGUCUGAACCAGCCAAGUAGCGUGAAGAAUGACUGCCCUAUGGGUUGUAAACUUCUUUUAUAUGGGAAUAAAACGUUCCACGUGUGGGAUUUUGUAUGUACCAUAUGAAUAAGGAUCGGCUAACUCCGUGCCAGCAGCCGCGGUAAUACGGAGGAUCCGAGCGUUAUCCGGAUUUAUUGGGUUUAAAGGGAGCGUAGGUGGAUUGUUAAGUCAGUUGUGAAAGUUUGCGGCUCAACCGUAAAAUUGCAGUUGAAACUGGCAGUCUUGAGUACAGUAGAGGUGGGCGGAAUUCGUGGUGUAGCGGUGAAAUGCUUAGAUAUCACGAAGAACUCCGAUUGCGAAGGCAGUUCACUGGACUGCAACUGACACUGAGGCUCGAAAGUGUGGGUAUCAAACAGGAUUAGAUACCCCUGUAGUC